This is a non-coding RNA of Saimiri boliviensis boliviensis (Bolivian squirrel monkey), 621 nucleotides long. Lineage: Eukaryota; Metazoa; Chordata; Mammalia; Primates; Cebidae. The record is from RefSeq and is a predicted model, not a curated record.
UCUGCUAGGAUGUCCCCAUCAUCCUGAAAGUCCCCCUUCCUCGCUGCCUUUCCACCCCUCCCCAUCCCAGCCAAGCUCACUUUCAUUCAUUCUCUCCACCACCCACCUACCACUGAGAGCCUGGCUCCCACUGCUCCUCAAAGUCUAUCCUACCUCUGUCCACAUCGUCCUCCUGUGACCUGGGUAAAUUGUGUUUUAAGGUUCGGUGGUUUACAUGUCCCAGGAGGCCUGGGUGCAGAACACCUCUGUGGUGGAGAACGUGUGCUUCGGGCAGCAGCUGGACCCAGCCCAGCUGGAGAAAGUCCUGGAGGCCUGUGCCCUGUGGCCAGAUGUGGACAGCUUCCCUGCAGGAGUCCACACUUCAAUUGGGGAGCAGAAUAGGCAUUCCUGGUUCUUGGGCCUUUGGACAUGGACCUGGACUUAUCCCAUUGGCUGCCCUGAAUCUCAGGCCUUUGGGUUUGGACUAAAACGAUAGCACUGGCUUACCUGGACCUCCAGUUUGUAGAAAGCAGAUACCCUUCUCAGACUCCAUAAUCAGAUGUGUUCCCAAGAGAUGAUUCAUCAACAUGAGACUACCAACAGAAGUUCAGAGCCAGGACCUAAUGUUCUGGAUAAACCCAC